This 490-nucleotide ribosomal RNA is filed under the name uncultured bacterium. RNAcentral's name for it is "partial 16S ribosomal RNA". It matches the Rfam family "Bacterial small subunit ribosomal RNA", at positions 29 to 507 of the family's 1533-position model. The record is from RNAcentral.
AAUGAACGCUGGCGGCAUGCCUUACACAUGCAAGUCGAACGGCAGCAUGACCUAGCUUGCUAGGUUGAUGGCGAGUGGCGAACGGGUGAGUAAUGCAUCGGAACGUGCCUUUUAGUGGGGGAUAACGUAGCGAAAGUUACGCUAAUACCGCAUAUUCUCUGAGGAGGAAAGCAGGGGACCUUCGGGCCUUGCGCUAGAAGAGCGGCCGAUGUCGGAUUAGCUAGUUGGUGAGGUAAAGGCUCACCAAGGCAACGAUCCGUAGCGGGUCUGAGAGGACGAUCCGCCACACUGGGGCUGAGACAAGGCCCAGACUCCUACGGGAGGCAGCAGUGGGGAAUUUUGGACAAUGGGCGCAAGCCUGAUCCAGCCAUGCCGCGUGAGUGAAGAAGGCCUUCGGGUUGUAAAGCUCUUUCGGCUGGGAAGAAAUCGCACCCUCUAAUACAGGGUGUGGAUGACGGUACCAGCAUAAGAAGCACCGGCUAACUACGUG